RNAcentral lists this ribosomal RNA (763 nucleotides) under uncultured bacterium. Its description in RNAcentral is "bacterial SSU rRNA". It matches the Rfam family "Bacterial small subunit ribosomal RNA", at positions 8 to 796 of the family's 1533-position model. The record is from RNAcentral.
AGAGUUUGAUCCUGGCUCAGGACGAACGCUUGCGACGUGCCUAAGAAAUGCAAGUCGAACGGGGGAGCAAUCCCCAGUGGCGAACGGUCGCGUAACACGUGGGCAACCUGCCCUGGAGUGUGGGACAACAGAUCGAAAGGUCUGCUAAUACCUCAUGUGGAGGGAGAGGGCAUCCUCUCUUGUCCAAAGGAUUUAUUCGCUCCAGGAUGGGCCCGCGGCCUAUCAGCUAGUUGGUGGGGUAACGGCCUACCAAGGCUUCGACGGGUAGCUGGUCUGAGAGGACGAUCAGCCGGAUUGGGACUGAGACACGGCCCAGACUCCUACGGGGGGCAGCAAUUAGGAAUCUUGCGCAAUGGGGGAAACCCUGACGCAGCGACGUCGCGUGGAGGACGAAAUCUUUCGGGAUGUAAACUCCUUUUGCGAGGGAAGAAGAAUGUGACGGUACCUCGCGAAUAAGCCCCGGCUAACUACGUGCCAGCAGCCGCGGUAAUACGUAGGGGGCGAGCGUUGUCCGAAGUUACUGGGCGUAAAGAGCGCGUAGGCGGGCUCCUAAGUGAGGGGUGAAAGGUUCGGGCUUAACCCGGAGAGUGCCUUUCAUACUGGGAGCCUUGAGUGCGGGAGAGGCAAGUGGAAUGGUCGGUGUAGCGGUGAAAUGCGUAGAUAUCGAUCGGAACACCCGUGGCGAAGGCGGCUUGCUGGCCUGCAACUGACGCUGAGGCGCGAAAGCGUGGGGAGCAAACAGGAUUAGAUACCCCGGUAGUCC